Non-coding RNA from Myotis davidii, 75 nucleotides. NCBI's taxonomy places the organism in Eukaryota, Metazoa, Chordata, Mammalia, Chiroptera, Vespertilionidae. The record is from Rfam.
GGCAGUUCUCAGGUGUCGCACCCCGGAAUUGGGCUCCCUCCUCUCUGGUUCCGGGUGCGUCACCCGAGAACCACA